AUAAAAUAAAAUAUUGUUUUUAUGUUAAAUAAAAAGAAAAGGAAUUCGAUUGGUACUGUUAAAUCAAUAAUAUAUGUGAGUGUAAUAUAAGUUUUAGGAAAUCAUUAAACAAAUAAAAAUACAAACGUACGAGUUGCAGAUCCUUUAAAACUCGAUAAAAAAAAAAGUUGAACGACGACGUGAAUUGUGGUUCAUGAUAUGUGUAAAUAAGGGACCUUACAUCCCAGCUCCUUUGUUCUAACAGGGGUGAUCUGAGAUCUGAGCAGGAUCACCCCUACCAGAUCGCCCAGUGUAUAUGCUGGGAUUCGAACUCAAAACCUUAAGCAUAUUAAGCCACGACACAUACCACUACACCAGGACGACUGGACACGAACUAUCAGUAAUUUAACAUACUUAAAGGAAGCAAGAUAAUUUUAUAAGUGGGGCGAUUGGCAGACCUUUAUUCAGUGGGGUUUAAACCCUUUUCGUUAAUAAGUGAGUUGUCAAACUGAUUGUUCAAUUUGAUUUUACACUUUUUCAAAAGUGUGGCGAGUCGGUAAACAAGAGUGGGGCGAUUUUUUUUUAAAAUGUGGCGAUAUAGUGUGGGCCGAUUGGCCAGUGGGGGCGAGUUGACAUUGUUUGAUAUCUACUCGUCGUGUUCGGGGGUCAUAAGGGGUAUACAUCAAACAGUAGUAUAUAAAGUAUAUUAUAAUAGUUGUGUGGCGUUCUAAACUAGAUUUUAUGAAUUGUAAAUGGUUUUUUGUCUAAUCUCAAACAGCUGGGAUGUACGAUAGUUAUCCCAUUCGGACUUGGUGUGUCAGUGUUAGAUCACCCUCUGGCCUCCGUCCAUCGGGGUGAUCUUACACUGACAUACCGCGUCCUCGUGGGACAACUAUUACAGAUUGACCAACACAUUAACACUUUUAAUGAUUGUGUCCAAAUAAUCACACGAUGGUAUAGGUGAAUAUUGCUUUAAAUAAAGCAUUAUUGUUUGAGUACUUAAUUCCGUAAAAAGAAACAGAUUAAGUUAAUAGACACUUUUAAAAAUCAAAACCCACUGUAUAUGGGGUCUUAAAAUGAUAAAUAUUGAAAACUACAUAAAAGGUUUAAAAUUAAUAUGGAUAUGAAGACUCAAUAGAAGUAAUUCAAAACUUGUGAAAAUAUUCCUCUUUUCAGAAAUUUUUUAACAUUUUUAGAAAUGCAAAUGCUUGGCACUUAUAAUGAGCUGAAAAAGAAAGAAGUAUGUGAUGCUUGGAAUGAUCGGCAAAAUAUACAAGAUAUCUCUCAAUUAAACACGUGAAAUAUAUGGACAAUGAUGCAACAAAUAUUAGUUAUCAAUCAGGUUUUUUUUUUAUAAAUCUUUGAUUAAAAGAGAGAUUUGGCUGAUAAUAACUUGUUGAAAAUAUUUAUAUGAAUAUAAUAUAUGUCACAAUAACGGUGCAGAUUUUGCCUCAGACAAAAAUAUGUUUAAAUCCCAGAGAGUUUCCAAAAGACAUGUACAUAAUUUUUAAUAGUGAAAAAUCAAAUAUCAUAAUGUAUAAAAGGAAAUGUGAACAAAAUGGUUUUUAAUUCUUAAUACAAACUCACUUGGACAAAUAUCCAUAUGAUUCCCUUUAUAUUACCAAAGAUUCGCUAUAACUGAUAAAAUUGACUUAAUAAUUCAGUUAAAAAAUUAUAUAUGACAGCACUCAAACAAUAUCUAAAAAUAAACAUUUUGAUAGAACUUUUUAGAUAAAAAUGAAAGAUUCAUAAGGGCAGAGAACUGGUGAAACCCUGGAAUCCUUUAGUGUCUUAAAACAAAGAUAAACAACAGACAUCAUAUAUAGUUACAAUAAGAAUUCUUUGUCGAAGCAAUCUUAGUCUAGCAAUUAUAUUCUGCAAUGUACCAAACUAUUUUUUUCUUAAAAUCUAUUUAUCUUGUGGCACAUUAAUCAAGCAGUUGAAAUAAAAAGGCAUAAUAAGCAUUCUAUGAACUAACACUUAGAAAUCUAAUUAAUAUAGUAAUAUUAAUAACAGUAGUGCAAGAAAUUUAUGAGCAUACAAAUGGUAUGGUAUAACAGUAUACAAAUAAUUUCAAAUACUCAUAUACACACAUGCAUAUACAUUUACCAUAUUUAAAUUUAGUUAAAGACCUUAGCCCAGGGGUUCUAGUAUAAGUUGUGUUCUUCCACAAUUAAAUAUUUUGAAGAAAUAUGUUUCUCUAAAAUCACGUUUUCUUUAAUGUAAUUUUGAAGAGCUUUUAUGUGAGAUUUUACGUCUUGCAUCUUACAUCUGUAAAUGAAUUACUUUGUCAGUAACAAACUAUUUCAGCUAUGUCUAUUUAGUAUGCUUUUUAUCUUCUGCUUAUAUUAUAUAUUAUUCACACAAAGAGUAUAACUUCUAUUAUGUUUAUUUUUAAAAAAAGGAAAUCAUUUUAAAAAGACAAUUCUGUAAACACUAUUUCUAAUGUUGAUUUGCACAUCAUUGAACAUUAGUCAACAUAUUUUGGUGAAGAAUAUACUCGAAAGAAAGCACUAAAUUGUAGAAUAGAUGAACAAUUCUUCAUGUUAAAUUGUACCUUAUCAUUUUAUUGUAUCUAUAAAGAGAAAGUAACAAAAAGUUCAAUUACCAAAACAAAGAACUAGCAUUUUUGACGUUGUUCAGAAG
Molecule: long non-coding RNA, 2625 nt
Filed under: Mytilus galloprovincialis (Mediterranean mussel)
Lineage: Eukaryota; Metazoa; Mollusca; Bivalvia; Mytilida; Mytilidae
Source: RNAcentral